Molecule: ribosomal RNA, 321 nt
Filed under: Triticum aestivum (bread wheat)
Lineage: Eukaryota; Viridiplantae; Streptophyta; Magnoliopsida; Poales; Poaceae
Description: partial small subunit ribosomal RNA
Source: RNAcentral
AUGACUGGUCUUUCAAAAAAACUGAGUGCACAAUCCAGUGAGCAUCCAGUUUCCUAUUCGUUAAAUGCACAACAUACAAAAAUUAAACAAUGCCUUAUCUAUGGACCGAGGUUGCAUGAUUCUGGUUCUAAGCCAAGAGCAGACAGAGAUCAGGGCUCUUCUAAUAGUGUGUAUUCAAUGGAUCGAAUGCAGGCAAGCUGCCAAAGAGAAAGAACAAGAUGCCGAGGUCCUGCAGUGGCUACGGUGGGGCGCACUGGUGUAGCCCAUGCGAGCGACACGGGAGUGAGCGACCAGGAACCAAAAGAUGCUGCCAAUAUUUAG